RNAcentral lists this long non-coding RNA (553 nucleotides) under Capsella grandiflora. Its description in RNAcentral is "long non-coding RNA (CGRA_LNC000957)". The record is from RNAcentral. Lineage: Eukaryota; Viridiplantae; Streptophyta; Magnoliopsida; Brassicales; Brassicaceae.
GUUUGCAUCGACUUACAUAUCUUUCUCUUGUAUUUACUCAGUUGACUUGGCUGAGCCAUCACUUGACAAAGAUCUGGUUUUAUGUUGAUAAGGUAUGUUAGGCUGUUCUCAAUUCAUAGUGAGCAAUAUUUGUAAUUUUUAUUCAGAGUCUAAACUUAUAAGUCUGUUCUCAAGAAAUCCAUAGUAUUGACUAAUUUUUAUUUGCUCCAGGUAAGUGCUUUGAAAGAUGUUGAUAUUCUCAUUGAUGCCAUGGAGAUUUUGUAAGUGUAGCAGAACUUGUUAUCUUAGUUGUCUUAAUAGCAUAACUAUCCUUGAUCUAUCCUAUCAAAUUCUAGAAACUUAUUGUAUCACUGAUAAGAAAAAAUGUUGAUUUUACUUCUGUGAGGCAGAGAAGGAAGAGUGUAUUAAUCAUUUGGUAACUACAUUGUUAUAACUAGUGUGUUUUUGAAUUCAUCUGACUUUUACCAUUGUCUUUUUUUUUUCUUCUAGAUUACAUACACCAGAUAGCAUUUCCAAGAAUUGUAUAAUUUGUCAGUGGAAUUGAUUCGGAGAG